GUGCUCACUUCUGCAGCACAUAUACUAAGAUUGGAAAGAUACAGAGACGAUUAGCAUGGCCCCUGCGCAAGGAUGACGCGCAAAUUUGUGAAGUGUUCCAUAUUUAA
Molecule: small nuclear RNA, 107 nt
Filed under: Rhinolophus ferrumequinum (greater horseshoe bat)
Lineage: Eukaryota; Metazoa; Chordata; Mammalia; Chiroptera; Rhinolophidae
Source: RNAcentral